ACUCCUCAUGCGUUGCUCCGUGACCGGAUGGUUUGACCUUAUAGCGCUAGCUUUCUUUCUCACUGUUCUUUCCAUCUGCUUCCACAAAAUUGAAUCUAAAUACUUAUAAAUUACAGUGAAAUCCAUUCCAAUACCCAAUUCCCAUGAUAGCAAUGGAGCCAGAAGCAAAACUAACCUUAGAAACACUAAAUCUCUUCUAAACAGAUAGCAAAUCUAAAUUAAAACAAAAUAAACUCAGUGCAAAAUCCAUGAAUUAGAGGCAACAAUUAACCUCAACCCACAUUCCAUGUCCUACAACAACGAGAGAUUUACUUUGUCAAUGCAAUCAAACACAAAAUCGAACAAACUAAUGUGCAAAAAUAGAAAAUGGUACAUACAAUGAGAGGGGCGCGACGAGUAGGCAGUGCUGGUCGCGGUGGCUAGGGUAAGCAGACGAGAGGGGCGGCGACGAGCAGGUAGCGCUGGUCGCGGUGGCUAGGGUUAGCAGACGAGAGGAGCGGCGACUAGCAGGCGGCGCUGGUCGUGGUGGCUAGGGUUAGCAGACGAGAAGGUCGGCGCGACGUGGCAGGCGGUGCAGUAGCGCGCCUAGGGAUAGCAGAUGACAGGGGUGGCGAAAUUAGGGCUUCAUUCCCUUUCCUGUUUCAGUUGAUUUAUUUGAUUGAGAGAGGUGAAUCGAGAGAGAGGGUCUAAGAAAGUAGAUGCGGCGCCAGAAUCGGAAGCAACAACUGCUCGUCGGCGGCGGCAUCAACCGCGACAAUGAGGAUUCCGAUUUGGAAGAAAGUUAGGAUUUUCUCUUGCGUUCUUCACUGGUUUGAGAGAGACAAUUUGACGGGGUGGAGAGCAGACGAUUUGGAAGGAAGUUAGAAUUUUAGGUCGGAGAGGGUGGAGUCUAGAUCUAGGCCCUAGGGUUUUAGGCGGAGGAAUUAAGGCGGGCGAGGCCGGCGCUCCUCGCCUGAACUUCGGCGGCCGCGGCGGCAGAGCCCUAGCUGGUCCGCUCAGCUUGAAAGAGAAGGGGGAGAGAAUUUUCUGUGUAAAUUUUUAGGAGAGCUUGAUUGGGAGGGAUUU
This 1065-nucleotide long non-coding RNA is filed under the name Salvia miltiorrhiza (redroot sage). Its description in RNAcentral is "long non-coding RNA (SMIL_LNC008020)". The record is from RNAcentral. Lineage: Eukaryota; Viridiplantae; Streptophyta; Magnoliopsida; Lamiales; Lamiaceae.